UACGUAGGGUGCGAGCGUAAUCGGAAUUACUGGGCGUAAAGCGUGCGCAGGCGGUUCGUUGUGUCGGCGGUGAAAGCCCCGGGCUUAACCUGGGAAUGGCCGUUGAAACUGGCGAACUGGAGUGUGGCAGAGGGGGGUGGAAUUCCGCGUGUAGCAGUGAAAUGCGUAGAGAUGCGGAGGAACACCGAUGGCGAAGGCAGCCCCCUGGGCUAACACUGACGCUCAGGCACGAAAGCGUGGGGAGCAAACAGG
Molecule: ribosomal RNA, 252 nt
Filed under: uncultured bacterium
Lineage: Bacteria
Description: partial 16S ribosomal RNA
Rfam family: Bacterial small subunit ribosomal RNA
Source: RNAcentral